GCCGUAGGGGGCUAUCGUUGUCCGGAGUUACUGGGCGUAAAGAGCUCGUAGGCGGCCCGUUAAGUCGGGUGUGAAAGCCCCCGGCUCAACCGGGGAAUUGCACUCGAUACUGGCGGGCUAGAGUCUGGUAGAGGGAAGUGGAAUUCCCGGUGUAGCGGUGAAAUGCGCAGAUAUCGGGAGGAACACCGGUGGCGAAGGCGGCUUCCUGGGCCACGACUGACGCUGAGGAGCGAAAGCUAGGGGAGAGAACAGG
RNAcentral lists this ribosomal RNA (253 nucleotides) under uncultured bacterium. RNAcentral's name for it is "partial 16S ribosomal RNA". It matches the Rfam family "Bacterial small subunit ribosomal RNA", at positions 524 to 776 of the family's 1533-position model. The record is from RNAcentral.